GUAAUGAGGGUCGAGACUCGAGAAUCACAAACCCUAAUCAGCAUCAAUGAGAAUCGCAAGCACCUUCCUCAUCUGGCUUAUCUUCCUUUUCUAAUUACAGGUAGUGUGCACAAAAUUAUCAAAAAAAAUUUUGCAUCAUGGAUGAGGAAGGUGUUGUUAUAGGAUCAAUGGAUUGUGAGAACAAGCAUUAAAGUGAUUUAUCCCGAACUAGAGAAUGAUGGUGUCUCGAGUUGCUCAUGGCUGUGGAGGAGAACGAUGUUUUGAUGGGAUGAGGACUUGCUAAUAGAUCUUCGAAACUUAUUUGUUGUGGUAGACUUUUGAAACAAUGAAGAAUGUUCUCUUGGAGGCAUUUUCAACAUAGAUUACCAACUAGAUCUCAACUUUUUAAAAGAGCUGCUGCAUGAGCAAGGAGUAGGUGAUGUGCAACUAUAUACGGCUCUGUCCCUGAAUCGCCGCCGGUGCAGUUGAGAUUUUGCCAAUCAGAGCAUCGACCAGGUGCAAACGCCCCUAUAGCAUAUCCAGCUGCUGUCAACAAACUUAACGACUUUCAUUCCUUAAACAAAGAUCAAUACAACGAGGUACCAUAUUAAAGAAACUACGCCUAGACCAAGAAUUGGCCGCCUUAGCUAAAGUAUGGGCAACCGAAUUCGCUUGGCGUUUAACGAACUUUACCUCAAAGUUCGGAAAAAGAAGCAACAAGUUCUGAAUAGUUCUAAUAAUAAGGCUAAAUUCAGAGUUACCUACAAUUGUAGUAUGAAUAGCUUUAGUUACAAUUUGACAAUCGCUUUCAAAAAUAACAUGGGAUAAAUGAAGGGAGAUGGCAUUCUGAACUGCUUCCUUCAAAGCGGUGGCUUCAGCUUCAAUGACGGAAAGAGAACCCAUAUCCCAAGCCACCCCUCCUGUGAUAAAUCUCCCCAAAUGGUCCCUAAAGCACCAACCUCUAUUGGUAGAACCACAUACCUUAUUGAAAGCUGCGUCAAUAUUACACUUCACUUGAUUAGCCGUAGGCGGAAUCCAACCCUCUGAACUAUUAGUAGUAACGGUAGGCUCAUGCUUCUCUCUGGCUAGAAACCAAUCGUACCAAUUGUGAUAGGCUUGUAAACCAAUCUGCAUAGCAUCUUCACGGGUAUCUUGCCACACCACAUUAUUCCUACUUCUCCAAAGAGUCUCAAGCAAAACCGCAAAUCUACCCGCAUCCCUACAGUCCUCACGACUAUAGACAUCCAAAAUAAGGGAUUUAGCAUCAUGAAAAGUAUGUAAACGGGGUUCAAUUAAGGAUGACAAACCUGCUCCCCGCCAACUUUGACUAGUAGAAAAGCACCCGAAAAACAUAUGCCAUUCAUCUUCAUCUUCUAAUUCACACCAAGGACACAAGAUCGGGCAUUGGACAUGAUGGUGUUGGAGUUUUGAACGGGUCGGGAGGCAAUCCCUACAUAUCCUCCAUAACAAAUGCUUAGCUCUAGGUGGUGCUAAAAUACUCUAAAGAUGGUUCCAAUUACCUUCAAUGCCAUAGUGACGAGUGUUAUUUUGCAUCCUUCGCCAUAGUCUAUAUCCCGAUUUCACACUAUAUUCACCAUUUUUCUCCUCUUGCCAAAUCAUCCUAUCUACUUCCACAUCCUCCAUCAAAGGAGUUUUAAGAAUAGUUUCGGCAUCCAUCCUAUCGAAAACUUGAUACACCUUCCCCACAUCCCAUUGUUUUUCUUCGGGUCGCAUAAGAUCUUUGACAAAAAGAUCAUACACAUCUUGCUUCUGGGGACCAUUAAACCACCAACUUCCCUUCUCUCGGAGCCACGGUUCAUGCAUAACCUUAAUGCUACUCCCAUCUCCAAUACUCCACCUACUACCCAACUUAAGCACAUCCUUUGCCCUCCACAAACUCCUCCACACACAACUUGGGUUAUUUCCAAUCUUGGAAUCAAGAAAAGAGGAUCGAGGGAAAUACCUUGCUUUGAAGAUUCUAGCCACAAGAGAGGUAGGUCUCGUCACGAAAUUCCACCCUUGUUUUGCAAUCAUAGCCAUAUUAAACGCUUUGAAAUCCCUAAAUCCCAUACCUCCUUCACUCUUUAAGCAGGUCAUCCUCUCCCAUGACAUCCACCUGAUACCUUUGUUAUUACGACCACCCCCCACCAAAAAGAAUUCAGCAUUUUUUCAAUAUCUUUCACUACUCCAUCUGGGAUCAAAUAAAGACUCAUAAUAUAGGUCGGGAUCGACUGAAGUACUGAUUUAAUCAUAAUUUCCUUCCCUGCUUUAGAUAACGACCUACCACUCCAAGAAUUAAUUCUUUUCCAAACCCUGUCUUUGAGAAAAGAGAACGUCGCCUUCUUACUUCUACCAAUCAUGGACGGUAAGCCCAAGUAGGUUCCUGUACCCAACACGUGCCUCACCCCAUUACCUUGGCCAAAUCCUCCUGUGCUGGUACACUAAUAUUACGGCUAAAGUAAACUUUAGAUUUUGAAAGAUUAAUCUCCUGACCAGUCGCCGCAGCAUAAGUAUUAAGGAUCUCCAUAAGAUUAGUAACCUCCACAAGAUUAACCCUGCAAAAUAAAAAAUAGUCGUCAGCAAAAAGCAAGUGGGACACACUUGGUGCCCCCUGCAGAUAUGUGCCCCAUGAAUAUCACCACGUGAGACGGCUCCUCUAAUGAGAGCGGAAAGCCCUUCAGAGACGAGAAUGAAAAGAUAAGGCGACAAAGGAUCUCCCUGUCUCAGCCCUCUUCCUGGAAUAAUGGGUCCAACUCUAUCAGGGUUAACAAGAACAGAAUAAUGUACCGAAGUCACACACAUCAUUAGCCAAUGAAUCCAUUUCUCAUGAAAUCCCAUACAGAGAAGGAUGCCUCGAAGAAAGCCCCAAUCAACUCUAUCGUAUGCUUUACUGAUAUCAAUUUUUAGAGCCAAGUGAGCUAUGUUACCACUGGUCUUCUUCUUAAGAGCAUGGAUGAUUUCUGUAGCCACCAUAGCGUUGUCCAGGAUAGAUCGCCCUUCGACAAAAGUCGAUUGUUCCUCCGACACACACUUGUCUAAAACGAGUUUCAAACGGUUUGCCAAAACUUUAGCAACUAUCUUGUAGACUACGUUGCAGAGAGAGAUGGGACGGAGUUCCUUCAUGUCUUUAGGCUUUGCACAUUUAGGAAUAAGACAAAUAUUCAUUUCAUUUAGCUCCGCCGGGAAAAAACCCCUAUCCAACCAAUUAACUGCUGCCAGGAAAAUAUCAUCACCACAUAAAUCCCAAAAAUUCUGAUAGAAAGCUGGAUUGAAACCAUCGGGACCCGGAGAUUUAUCUGGAUGCAUUUGUAGAAGAGCCUCAUACAGUUCUUCUUUGGAAAUUUGGGAUAUCAAUCUGUUAUUAUCACCCUGCGAUAUUACCGGUUGUAUACAAUUCAACACCGGAUCAUAACUUCCAUGCUUGACUUCAAACAACUUCUCAAAGUAAGACUUGGCAACUUGACAUAAUCCAUCCUGUCCAUUAACCUCACUACCAGCAUCAUCUAAUAACAUGUCAAUAUGCUUGAACUUCUUUCGCACCGUGGCAGACCUGUGAAAAAAAAUUGAGUUCGAAUCACCGUGCCGUAACCAAUGCAUUUUAGAACGUUGCUUCCAAAAAAUUUCCUCCCGAAUCAGAAUCUUAUUAUACUCCCGCUGUGCAUCGAGAAAAGAUCUUGCGGCUGUUGUAUCAUUAACUAGACGGGCAGCUUCCAUGGUUGCCAUGCACACUGUUAAAUUUUUGUGUUUCUGCAUAUAAGUAACUUUGUUCCAUUGCGAAAGUUCCGUUGCACCUUUAACUUUAUUUUUUUGAAUAAUGUUUUCUUAAAUGUUUAGAUACUGUAAAAUAUUUAUUUAUCAAAUUUUAGAAUUUUUUAAAAUGAGAAGAACUAAAUAUGAAAUUUUUAAAUUUUAAAAGAUAAUGAUAAACAUGAUGAAAUUCUCGACUUAGAAAUCAAAUUUUGAGUUCCUUUUUAUUCAAGGAACUUUUUAUAACGUACUAAACAUGUAUUUAAAAAAAUCAUUCAAAAAUACACAUUGAUUUAACAACAGUGACUAAAACUAA
Molecule: long non-coding RNA, 4042 nt
Organism: Vicia villosa (hairy vetch)
Lineage: Eukaryota; Viridiplantae; Streptophyta; Magnoliopsida; Fabales; Fabaceae
Exons: 5
Source: RefSeq, a predicted model, not a curated record